This 119-nucleotide ribosomal RNA is filed under the name Helianthus annuus (common sunflower). Lineage: Eukaryota; Viridiplantae; Streptophyta; Magnoliopsida; Asterales; Asteraceae. The record is from RNAcentral.
GGUUGCAAUUGUAUCAACACUAAUGCACCAGAUCUCAUUAGAACUUCGCAGUUAAGCGUGUUUGGGCGAGAGCAGUACUAGGAUGGGUGACUCUCCGAGAAGUCCUCGUGUUGUAACCC